RNAcentral lists this unclassified non-coding RNA (373 nucleotides) under soil metagenome. Its description in RNAcentral is "partial contains 5.8S ribosomal RNA, internal transcribed spacer 2, and large subunit ribosomal RNA". The stretch from base 1 to 121 matches the Rfam family "5.8S ribosomal RNA", at positions 35 to 154 of the family's 154-position model. The record is from RNAcentral.
GAUGAAGAACGUAGCGAAAUGCAAUAAGUAAUGCGAAUUGCAGAAUUCCAGUGAGUCAUCGAAUCUUUGAACGCACAUUGCGCCCUUUGGUAUUCCGAAGGGCAUGCCUGUUCGAGCGUCAUUAUCACCCCUCAAGCCCUCGGCUUGGUGUUGGACGGUUUGGUGGAGGCCCCCUCGGGGGCUCCUGCCCCUCCCAAAGACAAUGACGGCGGCCUCGUUGGACCCCCGGUACACUGAGUUCUUCACGGGACACGUAUCGGACACAUGGGUUUACGGGACACGGUCUGCCUCCCCUCAGGGAGAAUCUUUCUAAGGUUGACCUCGGAUCAGGUAGGGAUACCCGCUGAACUUAAGCAUAUCAAUAAGCGGAGGA